Molecule: transfer RNA, 87 nt
Filed under: Candidatus Avelusimicrobium excrementipullorum
Lineage: Bacteria; Pseudomonadati; Elusimicrobiota; Elusimicrobia; Elusimicrobiales; Elusimicrobiaceae
Description: tRNA-Ser
Rfam family: tRNA
About the family: Transfer RNA (tRNA) molecules are approximately 80 nucleotides in length. Their secondary structure includes four short double-helical elements and three loops (D, anti-codon, and T loops).
Source: RNAcentral
GGAAGGGUGGCCGAGCGGUUUAAGGCGUCAGUCUUGAAAACUGAUGUAGGGGCAACUCUACCGAGGGUUCGAAUCCCUCCCCUUCCG